Molecule: ribosomal RNA, 433 nt
Filed under: uncultured bacterium
Lineage: Bacteria
Description: partial 16S ribosomal RNA
Rfam family: Bacterial small subunit ribosomal RNA
Source: RNAcentral
AACGAACGCUGGCGGCAUGCCUAACACAUGCAAGUCGAACGAGACCUUCGGGUCUAGUGGCGCACGGGUGCGUAACGCGUGGGAACCUGCCCUUAGGCUCGGGAUAACUCCCCGUAAGGGGUGCUAAUACCGGAUAAUGUCUUCGGACCAAAGAUUCAUCGCCGUUGGAUGGGCACGCGUUGGUUUAGCUAGGUGGUAGGGUAAAAGCCUACCAAGGAGAGGAUCCAUAGCUGGUCUGAGAGGAUGAUCAGCCACACUGGGAGUGAGACACGGCCCAGACUCUUACGGGAGGCAGCAGUGGGGAAUAUUGGAAAACGGGCGAAAGCCUGAUCCAGCAAUGCCGCGUGAGUGAUGAAGGCCUUAGGGUUGUAAAGCUCUUUUACCCGGGAUGAUAAUGACAGUACCGGGAGAAUAAGCACCGGCUAACUCCGUG